This 255-nucleotide ribosomal RNA is filed under the name uncultured prokaryote. RNAcentral describes it as "partial 16S ribosomal RNA". It matches the Rfam family "Bacterial small subunit ribosomal RNA", at positions 521 to 775 of the family's 1533-position model. The record is from RNAcentral.
UAAUACAGAGGUCCCGAGCGUUGUUCGGAUUCACUGGGCGUAAAGGGUGCGUAGGUGGUGAGGUAAGUCGGAUGUGAAAGCCCCGAGCUCAACUCGGAAAUGGCAUUGGAAACUACCUUGCUCGAGGGUUGGAGGGGGGACUGGAAUACUUGGUGUAGCAGUGAAAUGCGUAGAUAUCAAGUGGAACACCAGUGGCGAAGGCGAGUCCCUGGACAACUCCUGACACUGAGGCGCGAAAGCCAGGGGAGCAAACGG